Molecule: non-coding RNA, 2898 nt
Organism: Taeniopygia guttata (zebra finch)
Lineage: Eukaryota; Metazoa; Chordata; Aves; Passeriformes; Estrildidae
Source: RefSeq, a predicted model, not a curated record
UGGCAGGCGCUGCCAGGGCAGAGGCGCUGCUGGCAGCCGGUGCGGGAGAGGGGCGCGGCGAGGACGGGGCGACCCCGGGCGGCAUGGGCGGCAGCGAGAGCAGCCAGGGCGGCAGGAGGGUGUCCUUCGGGCUGGAUGAGCGGGAGCGGGUCCGGGUGCUGCAGGGCAUCAGGCUCACUGAAGAUGUAGUGAACCGGAUGAAAGGAUCCUCUCAAAGUAGAAGGGACAACCAGAGAUCUCCCCGUGCAUCCAAUGGCACAGCUCCGUCCUCACUGGCUGCAGAAGGGAAACCCAGACCUACAGGAAUUCAGCCACCAAAGGCAAGUGACUCUGCUGCAGAGCAGGAUCUCUACAAGAGGUAUGUGGAAGAACAGACACUGGUCCAAGAGGAGUUGCUCUGGCUGGCCAAUAGAGAAAGGGAAGCAGCCAGUGAGGCUAAGGCAAGGAACAGCAUUAUUGUGGAGAGGCAGAGAGCAGCCCAGCUGCCUGUGGAUUUGGAUGCCUGGGCUGUGGAGCUGCAAGACUGGGAGGCAGACCUGAAGCGACAAGAGGCCUUCUAUAAAGAGCAGUUGGCCCGCAUUGAGAAGAAGAAUGCAGAGAUCUACAAGAUGACAUCUGAGCAGUAUCAGGAGGCAGCCACCAAGGCAGAGGAACGGAUAAAGAGGAGGAAUGCUGAUCCUAUCUGUGCAAACUUGCAGUCUGAAAUUCUGAAGUGCUACCAAGAAAACAAACGUGAAGUGCUCAAAUGCUCGGAGCUGGCAAAGGAAUAUCAGCGCUGUGUUAGUGCAGCUCGGAAGGAGCUGUUACUUGUAUGACCUUCAUGCGUGAAACAGUUUCUCUUUUGAAAUGUGUUUUCCCCUUUAUCAGUUAUUCAUUGAAGAGUCUCUUUGCAUCUGUAGAAUUUUGAAGGGUAGCUAUUAUUUUACCAUUUUAAUUUUCCCAGCUGUUCAAAUAAUUGUUUUAACCUCUCAGUGCCUGGAAGUGCUUUUCAAAUCCUGAUAGCUUUGCAUUGUAUUUCUUUGGUUUCAUGGUAUAAAUUGCCAACAGUUUUUUCCCUAUUCCAAAUGGUUAGUCUGUGACUUUCUUCUCUAUAGCUUUAAAGUCUGCCCUGUUCUGAACACCACUGACAGCAAGGCACUUUUGAACUUCCACAUUGGGAUACUGAGCUCUCACAUCCUGUUUUGGGGUUUGGGCUUUUUUGUUGUUGUUCUCCACACACACACAUGCACCCUGCAAAAAAAUAACUUCAAUACUAAAAGAUCCCAUUAAAACCAGAACAAACUGAUUAUUCUGAAAGGUCUUGCCAGUGGCCUCUCUGGAGCUGCAUUUCGCUGUAUGUAGGGAAGGGGCUUUGACAGAGACAAUGAAGCCAGCACUGAAUACAUUGUCUUCCUGCAGUUUUACAGAGAGUAAAGUCAAAGCAUUUCAUUUGACAGUGGUUUCUCUAGCCCUGACACAAGGCUGUGAUGGCUGAGGACAAGGGAAAGCUUCCUGCUGGUCUGGCAGAGGACAUGGCUGAUUGAGCUGAGCACUCAGUUCCAGGGCAGUGUUCCCAGCCCAGGGUGAUGCUCAAAGGGGGAGGAAUGCAUCUUCUGUCCUACCUGGGGCAAAACACUUCCAUGUGGGAAUAUCCCCAGACCAGCAGUGUCUCAUUUCAUAGCUUCACUUUUCUUUUUGGUAUUGGUAUUGAUACUUAUUUUCAUUGAGCAUUGCUUCUCUUGAGUAUGUCUUUAAUGGCCUUGCCAUAGGGACAAAGGUAAAAUUUGAAAAUAAGUAAUUAUAUUGUGAUAUUCUGGACAUAUUUUUGUAGUUUCUCUUAUGUGUUCUUCUCACAUGUUCUGAAAGUUGCAAAAGGUGAUUUAUAAUUCAUCAAACUAAGCAUAAAACAUCUGACUGCAAAGCCUAUCAAUCUGAUCCCAUCUCUUUCCAGCCCUUUAAUUAGGGAAGCCUUGCUGAAAAAUGUACCCAUCAGCUACUGAGAAAUAGUGCAUUCCUGGACCCUCAGUAUAGAUCUUGAGUUAUCCAGGUGCCAAAAUGCUGUCAGAACUGACAGAUCUUAGAAAAUACACCCACAGGCAGAACAUUAUCCAUUAUACCAGCACUGAGCAGUGGGCAGUAAGGAAAAAUCAGCAGAGAAUGUGUCUUUAUAAACUUUAAUUGGCUUUUCCAUUGCUAAAAAUCAGUGUAUCCGGCAGGGAAGAGAACCUAUCUAGCAGUUUGAUUUUUCCAUCCCAGAGCUGAAGGGUGCAGUCCAUCUUCACUGACGUGUGAUGUGGACUUGUCUCAGCACAGCUCCUGGCAGUGCAGUGGAAUCCACAGCCCACAGAGAAGGCUGCCAGUCUGUCCUCGGAGCUGUUAGUUAAUUCUGGAUAAACAUCAUCCGCCAAAGAGCAGAGGACAGGGACCACAGAGGCCCUUGGAAGCCCCAGCAUCCUUCUGGACAGACACUGACCAAAACUGGUGCCUUCUGCCCUCGAUGACCAAGACAAUACAAUAUGAUUCCUCCUCUAACUGUCUGCAUGUAUCAGUCUCGGUGGAGUUCCUGGGGUUGGGAGAAGGGUCCCAGGAGUGGGGAAUGCUAUCGUUUCUUUUCAUUGUUCUGCAAUGUAAAGAACUGUGUUGACCCCAGUGCUUCCAGCAUAGCUUGUAGCUUAGAGUCUUGCUCCAACACAAGUCUGGUUCACUCAGUACUAACUUUGGUUUCACCAACCAACAUCUGAGUUUCAAGAGUCUGCCUCUGAUUGUUUGCUCUGGAGAAAAGGGUCCAAAGUAUUUGGAAGUAGCCCUGAGUAGCUUGUUAGGAUUAACUGUUCCUAGCAUGCUCCCAUUGGUUACACCAGCAGGCACAUUCCUUCCCUUCCAGGGUUCCCUCCUAAACAAUAAAGUGUUUAACAGUCA